AUUGAACGCUGGCGGCAGGCCUAACACAUGCAAGUCGAGCGGAUGAAGGGAGCUUGCUCCUGGAUUCAGCGGCGGACGGGUGAGUAAUGCCUAGGAAUCUGCCUGGUAGUGGGGGAUAACGUCCGGAAACGGGCGCUAAUACCGCAUACGUCCUGAGGGAGAAAGUGGGGGAUCUUCGGACCUCACGCUAUCAGAUGAGCCUAGGUCGGAUUAGCUAGUUGGUGGGGUAAAGGCCUACCAAGGCGACGAUCCGUAACUGGUCUGAGAGGAUGAUCAGUCACACUGGAGCUGAGACACGGUCCAGACUCCUACGGGAGGCAGCAGUCGCGAAUAUUGGACAAUGGGCGAAAGCCUGAUCCAGCCAUGCCACGUGUGUGAAGAAGGUCUUCGGAUUGUAAAGCACUCUAAGUUGGGAGGAAGGGCAGUAAGUUAAUACCUUGCUGUUUUGACGUUACCAACAGAAUAAGCACCGGCUAACUUCGUG
RNAcentral lists this ribosomal RNA (484 nucleotides) under uncultured bacterium. Its description in RNAcentral is "partial 16S ribosomal RNA". It matches the Rfam family "Bacterial small subunit ribosomal RNA", at positions 30 to 507 of the family's 1533-position model. The record is from RNAcentral.